Molecule: ribosomal RNA, 278 nt
Filed under: uncultured Clostridia bacterium
Lineage: Bacteria; Bacillati; Bacillota; Clostridia
Description: partial 16S ribosomal RNA
Rfam family: Bacterial small subunit ribosomal RNA
Source: RNAcentral
GCAGCCGCGGUAAUACAGAGGUCUCAAGCGUUGUUCGGAAUCACUGGGCGUAAAGGGUACGUAGGCGGCGAAGUAAGUCGUGCGUGAAAGGCAGGGGCUCAACCUCUGGAGUGCGCGUGAUACUGCUUUGCUAGAGUGAUGGAGGGGGAACUGGAAUUCUUGGUGUAGCAGUGAAAUGCGUAGAUAUCAAGAAGAAGACUCGUGGCGAAGGCGAGUUCCUGGACAUUCACUGACGCUGAGGUACGAAGGCUAGGGUAGCGAAAGGGAUUAGAUACCCC